GUACUUACACUGUCUCUGUGAUUGUUGUGAAUAAUUUUCAUUGCUUGUAAAUUUAUGGAUACUUUAAAUUGCAUGAUGGAAUGGGAUAUCUUUCCUUUUAUGAAAUAUUUGCUAUUUUGCUUGCAGCCAAAUGGGUGGCCCACUUCUACUUUUAUUAUUUAGGAAGACAAGAACAGAAGCAUAUGAGAAAGAGUGACAAAAGAAGCCACAGUCCAACAUGCAUGGAAGAUGAGAGCUACAAAGGUGUCAGUAUAUCUCUACAGGACUAGUGCCCCUCGAGGCUGAUUGUCGGAAAUCUGUUAUGGCACCUGCUACAAGAACACAGGAAAAAAAAGACUUCCUGAAUGAAUAAAUGAAUCAAAAAUCUUCUAUUUUCCUCUACAGCACUUCUGUCUUUCAGCUACUCACAGAGGUCCAGGAAUCAUCAUUAAUAAUCAUUAAUCAUCAUUAAUACAUAUAAGGCUGUAUAAAGUGUCCAAGGAAUCGUUAUCUUUUAA
RNAcentral lists this long non-coding RNA (497 nucleotides) under Equus caballus (horse). Its description in RNAcentral is "lncRNA (ENSECAG00000045501.1)". Lineage: Eukaryota; Metazoa; Chordata; Mammalia; Perissodactyla; Equidae. The record is from RNAcentral.